RNAcentral lists this ribosomal RNA (429 nucleotides) under Actinomycetes bacterium. RNAcentral describes it as "Actinobacteria bacterium partial 16S ribosomal RNA". It matches the Rfam family "Bacterial small subunit ribosomal RNA", at positions 355 to 776 of the family's 1533-position model. Lineage: Bacteria; Bacillati; Actinomycetota; Actinomycetes. The record is from RNAcentral.
UAGAGAAUCUUCCGCAAUGGGCGAAAGCCUGACGGAGCAACGCCGCGUGAGUGAUGAAGGUCUUCGGAUCGUAAAACUCUGUUAUUAGGGAAGAACAAAUGUGUAAGUAACUAUGCACGUCUUGACGGUACCUAAUCAGAAAGCCACGGCUAACUACGUGCCAGCAGCCGCGGUAAUACGUAGGUGGCAAGCGUUAUCCGGAAUUAUUGGGCGUAAAGCGCGCGUAGGCGGUUUUUUAAGUCUGAUGUGAAAGCCCACGGCUCAACCGUGGAGGGUCAUUGGAAACUGGAAAACUUGAGUGCAGAAGAGGAAAGUGGAAUUCCAUGUGUAGCGGUGAAAUGCGCAGAGAUAUGGAGGAACACCAGUGGCGAAGGCGACUUUCUGGUCUGUAACUGACGCUGAUGUGCGAAAGCGUGGGGAUCAAACAGG